GACUGUUUGAGGGUUUUUAUUGGUUUGUGGUAGUUUAUUUUGAUACGGGAGGAUUUAGAAGCUGCUGUGCUGCGUCUGGGAACAGCUGACGCAUCACUAAGGUGGUUUUAGAGUCUCCCUCCUGUCGGGUUUCACAUUUUCAGCUGACUUUAAACUGCUGUUGCUGGUUGCCAGGGUUACCAUGGGUGACCAAGCGGCAGAGGAAGAGGAGCAGGGAGCAGCAGGAGGAAGGUGCCUCAGUGAAGCUCAGACACAAGUGUUGGACAGGUGUCUGCACGCGCUCAGGCACGCGAAGAAUGACAGCCAGACGUUAGCGGCUCUGAUGCUGAUAACGCGGCUGUGCCCUGCCAGCCAGCUGGACCCGGCUACCAUGCGGCGGGUGUUUGAGGCGGUGGGCCCGGCCCUCCCGGCCCGGCUGCUGGUCACUGCCCUGCGGGACGCCGGGGGGGCGGGACUUCCUCCCCAGGAGCUGCUGUCUCUGGGUUCCGCCCUGCUGGCCGCCCUCAGCACCGACCCCAACAUGGCCGCCCGGCCCCAGCUGCUCGCCACCGUGCCGCUGCUGCUGGGCCUGCUGGCCGACGGGCCGGGGUCGCAGCAGCAGAACCGGGCCGAGGCGGAUCCGGAGGCCCGGCCCGGAGGGAGCGGGGGCGAGGGGGACGAGAGCAGGAGGUCAGAGGUCAAGUCUCUGGACGAAGCCGUGGUGGCGGACUGCUUCCAGGUUCUGAUGGCCGUGUUAGGGCUCCUCCGGGGCCCGGAGCGACUCCUGGCCCGGGGUGCGGUGCCGGCCCUGUGCCGGGCCGCGGGUCAGAACCGCUGCCACCAGAGGGCGCUGUCGCUGCUGGGCUGCCUGCUGUCCACAACCAGAGAGGAAGCCUGGCGCAAACACCCGGCAGAACUCCUCUCUCUGCUGCUCAGGCUCUGCUCGGAGUUCUGCCGGGCCUCGGACCCGACCCGGCUCCAGAUGUGCGCCCAGCUGGUGCGGUUCCUGCCGCCGCCAGAGGCGGCGCUGCAGAGCGCGGAGCUGAGAGAGGCGGUGGGCAGAGUGUGGGCGGCGCUGAGACCCACGCUGCAGGCCAAGCUGACGCCCAAACAGAUCGGGCCGGUUCUGGUUCUGAGUGCCUGCUUAUUGGACCUGUAUGGCUGGGAGUCGGUGGGUCCGGCCCGGUUCUGCUGCCUGCUGGUGAACCGGGCCUGUGUGGAGGUCCGGAUGGGUCUGGAAGAACCGCCUGGGAACGAUCCGAGUCCAGAGCUGCAGAACACACUGACAGGAUGCUACCGCAUCAUGGAGGCGGCCAUGGAGCAGGCCUGCACCGCCGGCGCCGCGGCGCCACCUCACUGCUCCGCUCUGAGCGCGCUCAGUCUGCAGCAGAGCCGGCAGGUUCUGGAGGUUCUGCAGGAGGCGUUCUCCGCCGUCAUCUUCUACCUGCAGCAGGUGGAGUCCGACCGCUUCUCCGACCCGUUUGUGCUGGCGACGUUCCGGGCGCUCUGCGCCUGGCUGGCCGAGGAGACUUCCUGUCUGAAGGAGGAAGUGACCGCUCUGCUGCCCUUCCUGAUUGGCUAUGCCCGGCGCCACCUGCAGGAGGGAGCCGCCGAGCCGAGCCUCUCUGAUUGGACGGCCCGGCUGUCCUUCAGCGAGGGGGGCGGGACUUGGACGGGCACCGGGGCUCUCAGGUACCUGCUACCCGCCCUGUGCCACCUGUCGGCGGAGGACGCCCCCAGGAAGGUGCUGCUCAGCGUGGAUGCCCCGGCGCUGUUGGUGGACUUCCUGAUCCGGACCUGGACCGACCUGAGGGGGCGGAGCCUGACGGCGCUUCCCAGAGACCCCAGCAUGGAGACGGCGUGCUCCGCCCUCCUGAACGUGACGGUGACGGAGCCGGACAGCGUCAGGAAGGAUCCGUGUUUCAGAACCCUGGAGGUCCACCUGAGUGAAGCACUUCCUGUUCUGAUGAAUAAGCCCCGCCUCCUGGUCCUAGCAGCCAAUUACUGCACUCUGGGGCUGAUGAUUGGCCGGCUAAAGGCUUCAACUGGAGGUCCGGUGGAUGCGGGCCAGAGACGUUUCUUCUCUGUAACCCUGCGGUUCCUGCGCGGCGCCCUGCGUCCCGGUUCCGGUUCUGGUCCGGUUCAGGUGAGCGCAGACUGGGAAGAGAGCUGGGACGAGGCGGCGGAGCUGUGGCGUCUGUCCCUGCAGGCGCUGGGCGGCUGCGUCCGGGCUCAGCCGUGGCUCUCUGGGCUGAUCCGGGACGAAGGCUGGCUGCGGCACACCGUGGGCGUCCUGACGCAGAGCAGCGCCGCGCCAGAGCGCCACAGCCAGGAGGCGCUGGAGGAGGCGCUGUGCGCCGUGGCGGAGCGCUGCCCGGACUGCCGGCGGGAGGUCCGGGAGGCCAUGAGGAGCGGCGGGGCUCUGGGCCGCAUGAAGAGGCUGAAGGCGGCGGUGGGACUUAAAGAUUAAAGGAGGUUCUGCUGAACUGCCUGGUGUGCUCUUUACCUGGCUCUGGACCGGCUCCUGGUUCUGAUCAGUUCUCUCUGCCGCCACCAGGUGGCGCACUGACUCCAGCCAUCAGUUUCUGCAGACCAACAGAAUUUUCCCGUUUUCCGGAUGUUUUCUGAGUUCUGGACAGGUUCUGACCCGUCUCUGAUGAUAUAAAAACAGGAACCAGAACCUCCUUUUUAAAAUAAUUUAUUUUGUAACGAAAAGCAUAAAACCAAUCAGGAGAUCACGAGUCUUCAAUGAUCCGGCUGGGAUCAGAACCGGAACAUUCUGAUGGGUUUGGACCGAAUUACACUCUAGAUUCUGAUAGUUAUGUUCUUCUUAAAAACAUGUAUUUAAAUUAUAGCCU
RNA transcript from Xiphophorus hellerii (green swordtail), 2837 nucleotides. It is a transcript of the gene named neurochondrin, with no coding region annotated. Lineage: Eukaryota; Metazoa; Chordata; Actinopteri; Cyprinodontiformes; Poeciliidae. The record is from RefSeq and is a predicted model, not a curated record. The transcript has 8 exons.